This 1586-nucleotide ribosomal RNA is filed under the name Escherichia coli. Its description in RNAcentral is "partial 23S ribosomal RNA". It matches the Rfam family "Bacterial large subunit ribosomal RNA", at positions 1 to 1621 of the family's 2925-position model. Lineage: Bacteria; Pseudomonadati; Pseudomonadota; Gammaproteobacteria; Enterobacterales; Enterobacteriaceae. The record is from RNAcentral.
GGGUUGUGAGGUUAAGCGACUAAGCGUACACGGUGGAUGCCCUGGCAGUCAGAGGCGAUGAAGGACGUGCUAAUCUGCGAUAAGCGUCGGUAAGGUGAUAUGAACCGUUAUAACCGGCGAUUUCCGAAUGGGGAAACCCAGUGUGUUUCGACACACUAUCAUUAACUGAAUCCAUAGGUUAAUGAGGCGAACCGGGGGAACUGAAACAUCUAAGUACCCCGAGGAAAAGAAAUCAACCGAGAUUCCCCCAGUAGCGGCGAGCGAACGGGGAGCAGCCCAGAGCCUGAAUCAGUAUGUGUGUUAGUGGAAGCGUCUGGAAAGGCGCGCGAUACAGGGUGACAGCCCCGUACACAAAAAUGCACAUGCUGUGAGCUCGAUGAGUAGGGCGGGACACGUGGUAUCCUGUCUGAAUAUGGGGGGACCAUCCUCCAAGGCUAAAUACUCCUGACUGACCGAUAGUGAACCAGUACCGUGAGGGAAAGGCGAAAAGAACCCCGGCGAGGGGAGUGAAAAAGAACCUGAAACCGUGUACGUACAAGCAGUGGGAGCACGCUUAGGCGUGUGACUGCGUACCUUUUGUAUAAUGGGUCAGCGACUUAUAUUCUGUAGCAAGGUUAACCGAAUAGGGGAGCCGAAGGGAAACCGAGUCUUAACUGGGCGUUAAGUUGCAGGGUAUAGACCCGAAACCCGGUGAUCUAGCCAUGGGCAGGUUGAAGGUUGGGUAACACUAACUGGAGGACCGAACCGACUAAUGUUGAAAAAUUAGCGGAUGACUUGUGGCUGGGGGUGAAAGGCCAAUCAAACCGGGAGAUAGCUGGUUCUCCCCGAAAGCUAUUUAGGUAGCGCCUCGUGAAUUCAUCUCCGGGGGUAGAGCACUGUUUCGGCAAGGGGGUCAUCCCGACUUACCAACCCGAUGCAAACUGCGAAUACCGGAGAAUGUUAUCACGGGAGACACACGGCGGGUGCUAACGUCCGUCGUGAAGAGGGAAACAACCCAGACCGCCAGCUAAGGUCCCAAAGUCAUGGUUAAGUGGGAAACGAUGUGGGAAGGCCCAGACAGCCAGGAUGUUGGCUUAGAAGCAGCCAUCAUUUAAAGAAAGCGUAAUAGCUCACUGGUCGAGUCGGCCUGCGCGGAAGAUGUAACGGGGCUAAACCAUGCACCGAAGCUGCGGCAGCGACGCUGAUGCGUUGUUGGGUAGGGGAGCGUUCUGUAAGCCUGCGAAGGUGUGCUGUGAGGCAUGCUGGAGGUAUCAGAAGUGCGAAUGCUGACAUAAGUAACGAUAAAGCGGGUGAAAAGCCCGCUCGCCGGAAGACCAAGGGUUCCUGUCCAACGUUAAUCGGGGCAGGGUGAGUCGACCCCUAAGGCGAGGCCGAAAGGCGUAGUCGAUGGGAAACAGGUUAAUAUUCCUGUACUUGGUGUUACUGCGAAGGGGGGACGGAGAAGGCUAUGUUGGCCGGGCGACGGUUGUCCCGGUUUAAGCGUGUAGGCUGGUUUUCCAGGCAAAUCCGGAAAAUCAAGGCUGAGGCGUGAUGACGAGGCACUGCGGUGCUGAAGCAACAAAUGCCCUGCUUCCAGGAAAAGCCUC